RNAcentral lists this ribosomal RNA (492 nucleotides) under uncultured bacterium. Its description in RNAcentral is "partial 16S ribosomal RNA". It matches the Rfam family "Bacterial small subunit ribosomal RNA", at positions 29 to 507 of the family's 1533-position model. The record is from RNAcentral.
AGUGAACGCUGGCGGUAGGCCUAACACAUGCAAGUCGAACGGCAGCACAGUAAGAGCUUGCUCUUACGGGUGGCGAGUGGCGGACGGGUGAGGAAUACAUCGGAAUCUACUUUUUCGUGGGGGAUAACGUAGGGAAACUUACGCUAAUACCGCAUACGACCUACGGGUGAAAGCAGGGGAUCUUCGGACCUUGCGCGAUUGAAUGAGCCGAUGUCGGAUUAGCUAGUUGGCGGGGUAAAGGCCCACCAAGGCGACGAUCCGUAGCUGGUCUGAGAGGAUGGUCGGCCACACUGGAACGGAGACACGGUCCAGACUCCUACGGGAGGCAGCAGUGGGGAAUAUUGGACAAUGGGCGCAAGCCUGAUCCAGCCAUACCGCGUGGGUGAAGAAGGCCUUCGGGUUGUAAAGCCCUUUUGUUGGGAAAGAAAAGCAGCAGGUUAAUACCCCGCUGUUCUGACGGUACCCAAAGAAUAAGCACCGGCUAACUUCGUG